AAACUAUGGAAAGCCGGUUUCGGGUCAUCUUUCCACUUUUCCAACCAACACAACUGUAGUUUUGAUUGAAAUAAACACGUAGUUCACCGAUUUAUGUGAAAAUAUGUCGGCUUUAUACACGCUAAAAGUAUUGUUUUUUGAAUGGAGUCUGGUAGGUUUAGCGCUAGCGACUUCAAAGCUGGUUCUGGUUUAACUGAAAGGUCUCAAAGA
Etheostoma cragini (Arkansas darter) is the source of this 210-nucleotide long non-coding RNA. RefSeq lists it as uncharacterized. The record is from RefSeq and is a predicted model, not a curated record. The transcript is spliced from 2 exons. Lineage: Eukaryota; Metazoa; Chordata; Actinopteri; Perciformes; Percidae.